GAGUUUGAUCCUGGCUCAGAACGAACGCUGGCGGCGUGCCUAACACAUGCAAGUCGAACGUGAUCCAGAGCUUGCUCUGGUGAAAGUGGCGCACGGGUGAGUAACGCGUGGAUAACCUACCCUGGUAUCCGGGAUAACAUUCCGAAAGGGGUGCUAAUACCGGAUAAGCCCACGGGCUCUUUGGAGCUUGCGGGAAAAGGUGGCCUCUAUUUAUAAGCUACUGUAUCAGGAUGGGUCCGCGUACCAUUAGCUAGUUGGCGGUGUAACGGACCACCAAGGCGACGAUGGUUAGCUGGUCUGAGAGGAUGAUCAGCCACACUGGAACUGAGACMCGGUCCAGACUCCUACGGGAGGCAGCAGUGGGGAAUUUUGCGCAAUGGGGGAAACCCUGACGCAGCAACGCCGCGUGAGUGAUGAAGGCCUUUGGGUCGUAAAGCUCUGUCCGAGGGGAAGAAAUGAUAUAGUGCCAAUACCACUUUAUCUUGACGGUACCCUCAAAGGAAGCACCGGCUAACUCCGUGCCAGCAGCCGCGGUAAUAC
RNAcentral lists this ribosomal RNA (540 nucleotides) under uncultured Geobacteraceae bacterium. RNAcentral describes it as "bacterial SSU rRNA". It matches the Rfam family "Bacterial small subunit ribosomal RNA", at positions 9 to 526 of the family's 1533-position model. The record is from RNAcentral. Lineage: Bacteria; Pseudomonadati; Thermodesulfobacteriota; Desulfuromonadia; Geobacterales; Geobacteraceae.